AUGGCUGUCGUCAGCUCGUGUCGUGAGAUGUUGGGUUAAGUCCCGCAACGAGCGCAACCCUAUCUAUGUUGCCAGCACGUUAUGGUGGGGACGUCGUAAGAGACUGCCGGGGUCAACUCGGAGGAAGGUGGGACGACGCCAGGUCAUCAUGCCCCUUAUGUCCAGGGCUUCACACAUGCUACAAUGGCCAGUACAGAGGGCUGCGAGACCGUGAGGUGGAGCGAAUCCCUUAAAGCUGGUCUCAGUUCGGAUCGGGGUCUGCAACUCGACCCCGUGAAGUCGGAGUCGCUAGUAAUCGCAGAUCAGCAACGCUGCGGUGAAUACGUUCCCGGGCCUU
Molecule: ribosomal RNA, 337 nt
Filed under: uncultured Rhodococcus sp.
Lineage: Bacteria; Bacillati; Actinomycetota; Actinomycetes; Mycobacteriales; Nocardiaceae
Description: bacterial SSU rRNA
Rfam family: Bacterial small subunit ribosomal RNA
Source: RNAcentral